RNAcentral lists this ribosomal RNA (349 nucleotides) under uncultured bacterium. RNAcentral's name for it is "bacterial SSU rRNA". It matches the Rfam family "Bacterial small subunit ribosomal RNA", at positions 917 to 1269 of the family's 1533-position model. The record is from RNAcentral.
GGGCCCGCACAAGCGGUGGAGCAUGUGGUUUAAUUCGAUGAUACGCGAGGAACCUUACCAGGGCUUAAAUGGGAAAUGACAGGGGCAGAGACGCCCCCUUCUUCGGACUACUUACAAGGUGCUGCAUGGUUGUCGUCAGCUCGUGCCGUGAGGUGUCAGGUUAAGUCCUAUAACGAGCGCAACCCCUGUUGUUAGUUGCCAUCGAGUCAUGUCGGGAACUCUAACAAGACUGCCGGUGCAAACCGUGAGGAAGGUGGGGAUGACGUCAAAUCAUCACGGCCCUUACGUCCUGGCCACACACGUGCUACAAUGGUUGGUACAGAGGGCAGCUACCGGGUGACCGGAUGCG